Non-coding RNA from Salvia hispanica, 717 nucleotides. NCBI's taxonomy places the organism in Eukaryota, Viridiplantae, Streptophyta, Magnoliopsida, Lamiales, Lamiaceae. The record is from RefSeq and is a predicted model, not a curated record.
UUUUCUCCAUAUUUUCACCAAUCUGAAAAAUCUCCAACUACUUCCUAUAUGGAGUAUAUUCUUUAAUUCCACCAUCCCAAUCUCUCAUUCUGCUGUCUGCCGUUAUCUUCUUCCUCCCAUCAAAGUUGAGAGGAGAACCGAGACUUACCGUGAAAUCAAUCCUCCCUGCGACUAGAUUUUCUCUCUUCGAAGGGUAAACUUGUGCACGUUGUUUGCGGUGGAAACGGAAAGUGAUUUGAGGAGUUAAGCGAUUGAGAUUUGGAUGAAAAGCAGGAAGUGAAGAAAAAGUUGUUCUCCAACUUUUAUCAAUUAGUCCAAAAGUUUGAGGGAAGUAUGGAUCAUUUGUCUUUGUUAAGUGUUGGUCUUGAUGAUUUGGAAGAGCAUAUAUUUGGAAAUUGUGGAGCACCUUCCGUCAUUGAAAAGAAGAAGAUGGUUGAGGAUUUUUAUGGAAUGACAGUACCUGAUGUAAUUGACGUACAUCCUCCAGACGUUGUUAGUACCAAAGGAUCAGCUAGUGGCAGAGUAGCAAAGAGGGAGAGUGCAAUAAGGAAAACAAAUAAGUCUCUACGACGGCGUGGUAAAUGUCAUGAGCUGGGUCGUCAUGAUUCAAGAAAUUGUGGUAGAGUCAAUGAGAAGACAGAUUGAAGCCAUUUGAUAUACUUUAGGUAUUUUUGGUGUAAAAUGAUAUUUUUGUUUAAUAAAAUGAUACUUUGGGCU